GACGAACGCUGGCGGCGUGCUUAACACAUGCAAGUCGAACGGAAAGGCCCCUUUUGGGGUACUCGAGUGGCGAACGGGUGAGUAACACGUGAGUAACCUGCCCUUGACUUCGGGAUAACUUCAGGAAACUGGGGCUAAUACCGGAUAGGAAUCCUUGCUGCAUGGUGGGGGUUGGAAAGCUUCGGCGGUUUUGGAUGGACUCGCGGCUUAUCAGCUUGUUGGUGGGGUAGUGGCUUACCAAGGCUUUGACGGGUAGCCGGCCUGAGAGGGCGACCGGCCACAUUGGGACUGAGAUACGGCCCAGACUCCUACGGGAGGCAGCAGUGGGGAAUAUUGCACAAUGGGCGGAAGCCUGAUGCAGCAACGCCGCGUGCGGGAUGACGGCCUUCGGGUUGUAAACCGCUUUCAGCAGGGGCGAAGCUUUUGUGACGGUACCUGCAGAAGAAGCACCGGCUAACUACGUG
Molecule: ribosomal RNA, 464 nt
Filed under: uncultured bacterium
Lineage: Bacteria
Description: partial 16S ribosomal RNA
Rfam family: Bacterial small subunit ribosomal RNA
Source: RNAcentral